CUCUCUGGGUGCGAGCGGCGGACGGGUGAGUAAUGUCUGGGAAACUGCCUGAUGGAGGGGGAUAACUACUGGAAACGGUAGCUAAUACCGCAUGACCUCGCAAGAGCAAAGUGGGGGACCUUCGGGCCUCACGCCAUCGGAUGUGCCCAGAUGGGAUUAGCUAGUAGGUGGGGUAAUGGCUCACCUAGGCGACGAUCCCUAGCUGGUCUGAGAGGAUGACCAGCCACACUGGAACUGAGACACGGUCCAGACUCCUACGGGAGGCAGCAGUGGGGAAUAUUGCACAAUGGGCGCAAGCCUGAUGCAGCCAUGCCGCGUGUGUGAAGAAGGCCUUAGGGUUGUAAAGCACUUUCAGCGAGGAGGAAGGCGCUGUAGUUAAUAGCUGCAGCGAUUGACGUUACUCGCAGAAGAAGCACCGGCUAACUCCGUGCCAGCAGCCGCGGUAAUACGGAGGGUGCAAGCGUUAAUCGGAAUUACUGGGCGUAAAGCGCACGCAGGCGGUUUGUUAAGUCAGAUGUGAAAUCCCCGAGCUUAACUUGGGAACUGCAUUU
Molecule: ribosomal RNA, 551 nt
Filed under: Rahnella sp. EECC-108
Lineage: Bacteria; Pseudomonadati; Pseudomonadota; Gammaproteobacteria; Enterobacterales; Yersiniaceae
Description: bacterial SSU rRNA
Rfam family: Bacterial small subunit ribosomal RNA
Source: RNAcentral